UGAACUUAAGCAUAUCAAUAAGCGGAGGAAAAGAAACUAACAAGGAUUCCCCUAGUAACGGCGAGUGAAGCGGGAAGAGCUCAAAUUUGUAAUCUGGCGGCCCUUGGUCGUCCGAGUUGUAGUCUGGAGAAGCGUUUUCCGUGCCGGACCGUGUACAAGUCCCUUGGAACAGGGCGUCACAGAGGGUGAGAAUCCCGUCUUUGACACGGACUGCCGGUGCUUUGCGAUGCGCUCUCGAAGAGUCGAGUUGUUUGGGAAUGCAGCUCAAAACGGGUGGUAAAUUCCAUCUAAAGCUAAAUAUAGGCGAAAGACCGAUAGCGAACAAGUACCGUGAGGGAAAGAUGAAAAGCACUUUGGAAAGAGAGU
This 366-nucleotide ribosomal RNA is filed under the name Gloeocantharellus dingleyae. Its description in RNAcentral is "eukaryotic LSU rRNA". It matches the Rfam family "Eukaryotic large subunit ribosomal RNA", at positions 29 to 388 of the family's 3401-position model. The record is from RNAcentral. Lineage: Eukaryota; Fungi; Basidiomycota; Agaricomycetes; Gomphales; Gomphaceae.